UCGAGAAUCUUCCGCAAUGGGCGAAAGCCUGACGGAGCGAUGCCGCGUGAGGGAUGAAGGUCUUCGGAUUGUAAACCUCUGUCACCUGGGAGGAAAUAAAUGACUGUACCAGGAGAGGAAGCUACGGCUAACUACGUGCCAGCAGCCGCGGUAAUACGUAGGUAGCGAGCGUUGUUCGGAUUUAUUGGGCGUAAAGGGUCCGCCGGGGGCCGAUUAAGUCUGAUGUGAAAUACCAAGGCUCAACCUUGGAACUGCAUUGGAAACUGAUUGGCUAGAGCAUCGGAGAGGAGAAUGGAAUUCCAGGUGUAGCGGUGGAAUGCGUAGAUAUCUGGAAGAACACCGAAGGCGAAGGCAGUUCUCUGGACGAUUGCUGACCCUCAGGGACGAAAGCAUGGGGAGCAAACA
Molecule: ribosomal RNA, 405 nt
Filed under: uncultured prokaryote
Description: bacterial SSU rRNA
Rfam family: Bacterial small subunit ribosomal RNA
Source: RNAcentral